UAUUAAAAAUUUUAUCUAUUUGUACUGUUAAAAACUAGUAUGGCUAAUAGAAUAAUCAUACAAUAUCACAUGACAUACUAUACAUGUACUUCAAAUUGACGUACAUAGACCAUUUUAACAAUAGAAAUGAAUGAGAUGUUUAACA
Molecule: microRNA precursor, 145 nt
Filed under: Gossypium arboreum
Lineage: Eukaryota; Viridiplantae; Streptophyta; Magnoliopsida; Malvales; Malvaceae
Description: MIR7502 microRNA precursor family
Rfam family: MIR7502 microRNA precursor family
Source: Rfam by way of RNAcentral